This 369-nucleotide unclassified non-coding RNA is filed under the name Hevea brasiliensis (rubber tree). The record is from RNAcentral. Lineage: Eukaryota; Viridiplantae; Streptophyta; Magnoliopsida; Malpighiales; Euphorbiaceae.
AAUGCUUGUUACUUCAGUCGGAAUGAACACAACAUGGGGAGAAAUGAUGAGCCAUGUCAGCCGCGACACCAGUGAACAGACACCUUUGCAGGCUAGGCUCAAUAAGCUCACCUCAUCAAUUGGCAAGGUCGGUCUGGCUGUUGCUUUCCUUGUUCUUGCAGUCCUGUUGAUUCGUUACUUCACUGGCAACACGCAAGAUGAGAAUGGAAAUAGGGAAUUUAAUGGCAGCAAGACAAAAGCAGAUGAUAUAGUGAAUGCAGUGGUGGGAAUUGUAGCAGCUGCGGUCACAAUUGUUGUAGGGGCAAUCCAGAAGGACUGCCAUUGGCUGUUACACUCACUCUAGCUUAUUCAAUGAAGAGGAUGAUGGCC